Molecule: transfer RNA, 69 nt
Filed under: Zu cristatus (scalloped ribbonfish)
Lineage: Eukaryota; Metazoa; Chordata; Actinopteri; Lampriformes; Trachipteridae
Description: tRNA-His
Rfam family: tRNA
About the family: Transfer RNA (tRNA) molecules are approximately 80 nucleotides in length. Their secondary structure includes four short double-helical elements and three loops (D, anti-codon, and T loops).
Source: RNAcentral
GUGCGCGUAGUUUCAAAAAAAUGUUAGGUUGUGAUCCUGAAGUUGGGGGUUAGAAUCCCUCCACCCACC